Gossypium raimondii (Peruvian cotton) is the source of this 1017-nucleotide long non-coding RNA. RefSeq lists it as uncharacterized. NCBI's taxonomy places the organism in Eukaryota, Viridiplantae, Streptophyta, Magnoliopsida, Malvales, Malvaceae. The record is from RefSeq and is a predicted model, not a curated record. The transcript is spliced from 5 exons.
UGUUAAAUUUUAAUUUAUGUGUUUGGUAAAUGAAAUGUGAGGUAAGUAUUAUUAUUAUUAUUAUUAUGAGUGAGAAUUAAAUUAAAUAAUUGAUAUGAAUUAACAUUUGAAUUGUUUGUUGAUUAAAAGCGGGAAAUGAAUUUGAUUCGAAUUGUGAAUGGUAUUAAGGGUCUAUUUGAUAGGGAGAAAAUAUUUUCCGGAAAAUAUUUUCCGGAUUUCCCGAUGUUUGUUUGUUGUAAAAUGAAUUCCUAAGUAAAACAUUUUACAAAACACGGGUAAAAUCAUCUCAUCUUUCCAGAAAAUGUCUUACCGAUUUCUAAGGGGUAAGACAUUUUCCACAACUCAAAUCUCAACUAUCUUCACCCUUUCCACUGCUCCUCUCUUCACCCUAACGAUUGCAGCCUCAUCAUCUCUGCCUCAUCUUCUCUGCUAGUUCACCUCUUCUCUUUGCUUGCCUCGUUAGCGUGCUGGUUCACCUCUGCUGGUUUAUCGAAGAAGGCUGGGAAAUCUGCAGUUUUAAACAGUUUAAUCCGACACCCUAUUCUGGUUGAUAGAAGUCAAAAAUUCCGGUUCAGCAUCCAGAUCAAUCCCGACUUCAGCAUAACUUUGGUGAUGUAUAUUUUCUUUUGCUCAAGAAGCUACUGAAGGUUCGAUUGAUAAAGGCAAAGGACCUGCUAUAUAGAUUUCCUAUAUUUUUGGCGAGUUCCUUCUCACUUCCAUGUGCAGUGGUUUUCUAUAUCUCAUAGUUAUAUAAGCCUGCUAAGUGAAGGAACACUUUCUAAAGGACUACGCUAGAGGACAUCUGUUGUUGUGAGAUAACUACUUUUUUGUACUAUGCAUGACAAAUGGGGGCGAUGUCUAUUUGUGUUUUGAGAAGGAUAUGUACCUAAGACUCCUAUUGAUAAAUUAUGAUUUAAUGAAGUUUCAUUAAAUUUUAUGGAAUGGUUUUAAGGUAUUAUAUUUUGUUUGAUGAAUAAUAUCUCACUGAAAUUUAUAUGCCAUUUGACUUAUACUUUA